Molecule: ribosomal RNA, 489 nt
Filed under: uncultured bacterium
Lineage: Bacteria
Description: partial 16S ribosomal RNA
Rfam family: Bacterial small subunit ribosomal RNA
Source: RNAcentral
AUUGAACGCUGGCGGCAGGCCUAACACAUGCAAGUCGAACGGUAACAGGAAGCAGCUUGCUGCUUUGCUGACGAGUGGCGGACGGGUGAGUAAUGUCUGGGAAACUGCCUGAUGGAGGGGGAUAACUACUGGAAACGGUAGCUAAUACCGCAUAACGUCGCAAGACCAAAGAGGGGGACCUUCGGGCCUCUUGCCAUCGGAUGUGCCCAGAUGGGAUUAGCUAGUAGGUGGGGUAACGGCUCACCUAGGCGACGAUCCCUAGCUGGUCUGAGAGGAUGACCAGCCACACUGGAACUGAGACACGGUCCAGACUCCUACGGGAGGCAGCAGGGGGGAAUAUUGCACAAUGGGCGCAAGCCUGAUGCAGCCAUGCCGCGUGUAUGAAGAAGGCCUUCGGGUUGUAAAGUACUUUCAGCGGGGAGGAAGGGAGUAAAGUUAAUACCUUUGCUCAUGGACGUUACCCGCAGAAGAAGCACCGGCUAACUCCGU